ACUAAGUUUGAUUUUAGUGGUAUUAGUUUUUUCACAAGAAACUCCUUUUCUAAAAAGAUUGUCAUGUUAUUGAUGAAUAUCUUUUAUUCUUCAGCAAGGUAGAAGUAGUAUCCUUUAGUUUUUUUAGAGUACCCUAUGAACAAGUAUUUAUCGGAUCUAGAUCCAAGCUUGUCUGUCUUUAAACACUUUACAUAAGUCGGACAUCUCCAAAUCC
This 214-nucleotide long non-coding RNA is filed under the name Elaeis guineensis (African oil palm). RNAcentral describes it as "long non-coding RNA (EGUI_LNC051416)". Lineage: Eukaryota; Viridiplantae; Streptophyta; Magnoliopsida; Arecales; Arecaceae. The record is from RNAcentral.